UUGGGAAUAUUAUUAAACCUAAAGGCGUAAUGAAAGUGAAGGUUCUCCUCGCGAGAACCUAGGGAGGACGGGCGGUUUUGUUACACCCUUAAAAGUGGCCGCUCCGCACUCCCGGGGCGUCUCGUUCUCAUCGCGAGAAGAGGCGCACCAAGAGCGUACACGCUGGGACCCGAAAGAUGGUGAACUAUGCCUGGUCAGGACGAAGUCAGGGGAAACCCUGAUGGAGGUCCGUAGCGAUUCUGACGUGCAAAUCGAUCGUCGGAACUGGGUAUAGGGGCGAAAGACUAAUCGAACCAUCUAGUAGCUGGUUCCCUCCGAAGUUUCCCUCAGGAUAGCUGGCGCUCGUUGCGCACGAGUCUCAUCCGGUAAAGCGAAUGAUUAGAGGCAUUGGGGUCGAAACGACCUCAACCUAUUCUCAAACUUUAAAUGGGUGAGAUCUCCGGCUUGCUCGAACAACAUACGUCUACUUUUCGCGAAGUGGACGGUUUGAAGCCGCGAGAUAGACGGAUCA
This 511-nucleotide ribosomal RNA is filed under the name Trigonopterus pendolensis. RNAcentral describes it as "partial 28S ribosomal RNA". It matches the Rfam family "Eukaryotic large subunit ribosomal RNA", at positions 694 to 1118 of the family's 3401-position model. Lineage: Eukaryota; Metazoa; Arthropoda; Insecta; Coleoptera; Curculionidae. The record is from RNAcentral.